AUGCCCACAGCACCGUGCCUGUGUUGGCCAUGGCACGGGCGGCCCCCUGGCGUGGCAGUGGGGCCGGGCAGUGGGACCCCACUGCGGUGCCUGGCAAAGGGACAGGCCCCCGGUGGGGUGUGCUGGGGGGGGCACCCCCCAUACCCACACCUCUCUGGCUCCCACACACUCACUCCAGAGCCGCGUUGCUCCCUGUGCAUGGGGCAGCACCGGUGCCUUGGUGUCACGCAGGAGGACUUGGCAUCAGCCAGGCGGGGAGCAGGGGCUGCCCGGUCCCACUGCUCCCCGCCGGAGCUGCUGCAGGUUUGCCCGGUGCCUGCAGCCCCGGUGGCCCCGGCGCAGCCAAGCGAGCACAAGCACCGCGCGAGGGAGCGCCAGGGCUGCAGCCGUGCCGGGGGAGCAGCGUCAGCAGCCACGGCACGGCACCGCGCGCUGGGAGCGGCCGAGCAAGCGUGUAAUUGGGCCAGGCUAAUUAUGAUGGAUAACUCUAUUAUAUUCCCGUUUUUAAUGCGCCGCAGCUUAGCCUGCCCCGCUGACGCACAGGGCAGAGUUCACCCCUUUCAGCCCCCGCGAGCUCAGCGGCCGCGCAGCGUUAAAGCCUGGGUGUGCGGGGCGCUGAAUGCGGCGCCCAUAAUGGCUGUCACUCAGCCCUGCGCGCACAAACGUUUGCAAACAGCCGGUGACCAGCUCACACAAAGCACUCGCGGGGACCCCGCCGACGCUCGCCAGGGGGGCUCGGUGCUCCCAGGUGCGUGGCAGCCGAGCCGGGCACCAGCCCUGCCGCCGGCACGGAUUGCCUUUGGCUCUGGGGUGCGCGUUCCCUUGGCUGCGGGGCCCUGUCUGGCCGCGGGGGACCUGUGGCUGCCGUCCCAAGCGGGGCCACGGCCACCAGCUUGUCCCCGCUGGCACGCAGCGCCUGCCAGCUCCCUGCGCCCGCCGCCCCGGGCACUGCUGGCGCCGCGCUGCAGCCCGUGGCUCGCUGCGCUGGGAACGCUGUGUACAGCUUAG
Molecule: long non-coding RNA, 1008 nt
Filed under: Anas zonorhyncha (Eastern spot-billed duck)
Lineage: Eukaryota; Metazoa; Chordata; Aves; Anseriformes; Anatidae
Description: lncRNA (ENSAZOG00000017096.1)
Source: RNAcentral